This is a long non-coding RNA of Gadus morhua (Atlantic cod), 1351 nucleotides long. The record is from Ensembl. NCBI's taxonomy places the organism in Eukaryota, Metazoa, Chordata, Actinopteri, Gadiformes, Gadidae.
GAAACAGGCAGCUCUCUGGACGCUAGGGGAGCAGAGUUCCCAGAAGGCCUUGCAGGACGGGAGAGCAGAUCUAGGGGGGAGGGCGGAGUCAAGGCUAAUUUCCUGUAUGGAUGGCCUUACGCUAAGCCCCUCCCACAGCAUGACGGACAGGCCAGUUGAGGUAGGCACACACAACACAUGAUCAAACACACAAUACAGAAGUAUACAUGACCAUUCACACAAAACACACAAUACGCACAAUCCACACAAUCCACACAAUCCACACAAAAUGGUGUCACCUUGCUCAGGAGGUCGAGCGGGUUGACUUGAGUCAACCCGCUCGACCCGUUCGACCCAGAAGGUUGCUAGUUGGAUCCCCGGCUCCUCCUAGCUGAGGGUCGAGGUAUCCCUGAGCGAGACGCCUCACCCUGACUGCUCGUGACCAGCUGGCUGUCGCCCUGUGGGGUCGACUCCGCCGGUGGGGGGAAUGUGUGGACGAACGGUUGUAAGUUGCUUUGGAGAAAAGGUCUGCUAAAUGUAAAUAUAAAAGAGCAAUGUCCAAUGUCCAAUGUGUAUUACAUAUCCAAUGUAUUUUCUGUGUAUUUCCUCUGUAUAUUUGAAUGUUUAUUUCUGUGUAUUUCCUCUGUAUAUUUCCUUUGUAUUUAAAUGUGUAUUUUCUGUGUAUUUCCUCUGUAUAUUUCCUGUGUAUUUGAAUGUGUAUUUCCUGUGUAUUUGAAAGUGUAUUUCCCGUGUAUUUGAAAGCAUAUUUCCUGUGUAUUUGAAAGUGUAUUUCCUGUGUAUUUGAAAGUGUAUUUCUUGUGUCUUGCCGAAGGACCUCAGGGAGACGGCGGCCAUCGUUACCCAGGGAGACGAACUACGAGCUCUAAAAGGCCGUCGGACACUGCGCCUACCUGGAGCCCUACGGCCUUUAGAAAUGAAGAUCCACAACAGACCAGCAGCUCAGCAACACAGAGUCCCUAUAGGUUCCGGUGUUAAGAGGGUCAGUCGAAGUCCGUCCACCUCAAACCUCAGAAGCACUGCGGCUAACUCCAGGCUAGGCAACUCCCUGGGCGACCUCUACGGCGGUGAGGUGGAGGAGGCCAGGCAGACCUACAGCCCUCUUCACCCCCCGUCCUCUCCUCGCUCCCCCGCGGCCACCCUCCUCCCCCGGGGCCCCCGAGUGCCGCCCAAGGACCCCGGUCAGUACUUUGGCGCCCCUGGGAGGCCCAGUGGGAAGAAGGCUCCGGGGCCGCAGGCUCCCUACAGCGGGCUGAAGGCAGCCUCCGGGCGAUACCUCAGCCGCUCGAUUCCUGUAAGUACACACUACACUACCACAACCAGCAUAGCAACUACACUACCACAACCAGCAUAG